RNAcentral lists this long non-coding RNA (276 nucleotides) under Elaeis guineensis (African oil palm). RNAcentral describes it as "long non-coding RNA (EGUI_LNC033052)". The record is from RNAcentral. Lineage: Eukaryota; Viridiplantae; Streptophyta; Magnoliopsida; Arecales; Arecaceae.
GGGGGCAAGGGCUCUUUAAAUAGAGUGAAGAGAGGUCGAUUCCCACUCAAAAUUGAUUUCCUUCGAUGAAAUCAAGGAGAAGGAAACUCCCAACAUUCUUCUCUAUUUUUAUGCUUUAAUAUUCGUGCAAAAUUUUCUUUGGGCUCCUUUCUGAUGGUUAUGCCGGCCAAAUGAAUCAAACCCAAUUCAAAUUUAAGCCCGUUGUGGCCAGGACAUUACGGAAAUCUAUCUGCAAUUUAUAUGGUACAAGAAGUUUCGAGCUCUUUUGACCAAUAU